CAUGGCGAAGCGUGUAAUAAACCACCUGCGGUCCUAAAACACACCUGUUGAGUAUUAGAGAAGCAAUUAAACAGGUAUCCGACAAAGGUGUUCACAAGACAAAGCUCCUGAGCAGUUUCUCCAUCUAAAGGAGCGGUUUUGGGAAUCAACCAAUUCACUCAGUAGACGAUUUUAGCUCAUGUGGAAGACGUGACCAGGUGGCCGACGUGACCUGGUGGAAGACGUGACCAGGUGGCCGACAACCUGGUGGAAGACGUGACCAGGUGGCCGACGUGACCUGGUGGAAGACGUGACCAGGUGGCCGACAACCUGGUGUAAGACGUGACCAGGUGGCCGACCACCUGGUGUAAGACGUGACCAGGUGGCCGACCAGGUUUAAUAAAUACCUAAAUUCAA
Long non-coding RNA from Tachysurus fulvidraco (yellow catfish), 396 nucleotides. RefSeq lists it as uncharacterized. The transcript is spliced from 2 exons. The record is from RefSeq and is a predicted model, not a curated record. NCBI's taxonomy places the organism in Eukaryota, Metazoa, Chordata, Actinopteri, Siluriformes, Bagridae.